Brassica napus (rape) is the source of this 1598-nucleotide long non-coding RNA. RefSeq lists it as uncharacterized. NCBI's taxonomy places the organism in Eukaryota, Viridiplantae, Streptophyta, Magnoliopsida, Brassicales, Brassicaceae. The transcript is spliced from 2 exons. The record is from RefSeq and is a predicted model, not a curated record.
GUAGCAAAUUUGAAAAUGCUACGAAAUAAAAAACGUAGCUUCUCGUAUGUAAAACGUAGCAAAAAAGAUACGAAGUUGCCACAAAACCAAUCGUAGCAAAUAAUAGCUACAGUUUUGCUACGAAAUUCUCGUGGCAAAAUAGUUACGAAGUAAAUCGUGGCCAUAAUCAUGGCUAAUUUGACAAAAAAAUGUCCUUUUUGCUACGAUUUUGCCACGAUAUAGCUACGAAAAUUUGAAUCUCUAAACCUUAAGCAUAUUUUUAAACCUUUAAUUCUAAGUAUAACCCUUAAAACUCUUAUUUUAACUUUAAAUCUCAAAACUUAAACUCAAAAUUUAAUAUUUUUCGGAUUUUACUCUAAAAUUUCAAAUCUAACCUCAAACACUAUAUCCCAAACCAUAACUCUAACCCUAAACAUUAUACCCAAAAUUACAAAACCAAACACCAAAACUAAUAUUUUCAACUUUAAAAUAAAAUCUUAAAAAUAAAGCAUAAAUCUAAUAUUUUCAAACUUUAUUUUCAAAUCAUAAAUUUUAAACCAUAAAUUAUAACUUUUUAAACACAAACCUUAAUUCUUUAACAUAUACCCUAUAUUAGAAACUCUAACAUAAUACAUAAACUUGUAAAUUUUAAUUUUUAACUUUUAAUUAUAUAAACUGAAUCAUAGCUACAAUAAUAUCAGCAUUAAUUAAGAUUAAAAAACUUGAAACAUAAUCAUGUAAAUCAUAAAUUUCAGUUCAUAUGAUUUAAAAAGCAAAUCAAAAUUAACUCUAAACUUUAUACUUCAAACAUUAUUUCAUAAACAUUACUCUAAACUGCAAACUUUAAAUAAAACUCUAAACUUUAAAACUAAUAUAUAUAUAUAUAUACAAACCUUAAAAUACCCAAUACAAAUAUUAAACUCUUUUUAAUGAGGGGGAAUCUUCGAUCGGGAGGAAAAUAAAUAAAUGUGGGAAAAGGUAAGAAAUAAUGUGAUUUGUCGAUGUCAAAAAACAUGGAUCACUCAUUCUCAUGUCCUAUUGGUUAAUAUAAUGAGUGGAAGGAUCACAAUUUGAACCGUUGAUUAGAUUGAAUCUAAUGGUCCAGAUUAAUAUUUUUGUGUUUCUUCCUCCCUCAUCUUUCUUCUCUAUCUCUUCCUCUCUCACAUGAUUCUCUUUACUUCUCCUUUCUUCCAUGUCUUCUCUGUCUAGUACUUCUCUUGACCUGUCUUCUUGCUGGACGCCAUCGGAGCUUCUCGGCGUAGUGGUAGAAGAGGCAGAGGAGAUUGAUGGAGGAGGAGUUAGCAGAGGUGGUGGUGGCUCGUGACUCGUGUGCAGAACCGGCUUGAAGGGUGAAGAAGAAGAAGCUACGGUGAGGAAGCAGAAGAAGCGUGAUGGCGGAGCAGGCGUGACGCGUUGCUUCAUCCGUUACACCGGUUGUUCCAGAAGCAGAUCGAGUCGCCGCUUCAGACGUAGCAUCCGGAGCCAGUGGAGGUGUCUGUCGUGAAGCCGGUGGCGGAACCGGUGGUGGAGUCGGUGGUUGAGCCUGUGUAUAUAUUUGUGUGUAUAUGUGUAUAUAUUCAUAAUUUGUAAUUUAAUUAAUAGAAAAAUAUUUUUAUGCA